Paramuricea clavata is the source of this 674-nucleotide non-coding RNA. NCBI's taxonomy places the organism in Eukaryota, Metazoa, Cnidaria, Anthozoa, Malacalcyonacea, Plexauridae. The record is from the annotation of a GenBank genome assembly.
CUCCAUAAUAUUUGGUCUAAUGGUUAGGAUAAGUUCAUCUAAAUAUAUACCAAACCUCGUUACGCGCAGGUUAAAAAGUUCUUAAGUUAUGAAUACAUAUAGCUACACGAUGUUAACCGGUUUGUCCUUCAAAGUUCACUAAUGUCAAGUACAAACUGGGUAAUUACAGGGAGUUCGCCGAGCAUUUUUCUUCCAUUCUUUCAUCGGAUUCUCGUCAAUGUUUUGUAUCUCUCUGGUUAAUACACCAUUCUUCAAAUUUCGACCAUUCUUCUCUUCCUCACGGAGCCACACCCAUCUUGGUCUCGCCAAACACAGGGUCACGGUAGACAACACAAGCAAAACGACCAAGAAAUUCUUAGAAAAUCCCAUGACUUCCGACUCAAGACUUGAUAUUUUCCCGGUUUUUUUGUGUUGUUCAAUAUUGACAAUAUUGCUUACCUGCUAACACGAUAAAGUUUUGGAUGUUCCAUCUGACUUUAUAUACAGCGCAAAACACUUCAAUUACACCAGGUGUUCUCAUUUGCAUGCUGCGUAUGUUGUAGAGCGCAACGCAGUAUAAUUAAGGCGGUAUAACUGCUCUAUAUAAUGAUUCCACUUGCAUAUAAGUGAAAAAAGAACUAUCUAGCAUUGACCCUUCUAAUGUAAAGUAGUUUUAAAAGUUGCAUAAUUGCUUU